AUGUGUGCACACUGCCCUGUUGCCUGCACAAUUUGUUCCACUUCCUGUUAUUUGCAGGAGAACAACAGGCUCAAGGAGGAACUGAUGAAGAAGACGCGGCUGUUGCAGAGGGUUAGCGAGGACGCUGCAUCCCAGGCCACUUUCGGCGGCGGCGGCGGCGCGAGCCAAGAGCCCCGCACUUCCGUCGUCACUAGCAAGAUGGACGGCCCCAAGCCUUAUGACGGCGCUGCCUCGGCGAACCCGCGAGGCGCCUCUGCUCUCCGUCACAACGGGGUUUCAGAGAGCGGAGGAGACCCCCUGAUGCACCAACAGACGAGGCACAACAAGUACCUCGACAGCGGCCAGGCGUUCAGAAGGGAGCCGGCAGGAAUGGACAAUGGUGGACCCUCGCACUUCUCCACUCCAUCGUCUCGUUCCAUUUCUCCGACAAGGCCUAGAAAAGAAGGCGAUUAUGAUUCCAGACUCAACUUACCUGGACAAGGGCUACUGCCUGUUUCAGAGAUGAACUCAAACGUGUCCUGGAAGCAGGACCUUACUGUUAAGGUCAAAGAACACGAAGAAGAGAUCACACAGUUACGAAAGCAUCUGGAUAACUAUAUAAUAAAGGAAGCACUAAUACUCAAGGAAAAAUCGGUGCUGGAAAAACGCAUCGCUUAUAUGCGUGUGGCAUUUGAUCAUCAGCAGCAAGACUUGGUUGAUGCAGCAUCAAAGUCUUUAGCAUAUAGACAAGAUAUUAUCGAGGAAAACAUCCGCCUAGCAUAUGCAUUGCAGACUGCACAUCAAGAGAGGUCAAUGUUCAUAUCCUCUUUGCUGCCUAUUCUGUCUGAAUAUGAGAACCUACGACCGUCUGUCCCCGAUGCUCAAUCCAUUGUUGGUAAUUUGAAGGUUUUGUUUAGGCAUCUGCAGGAGCAACUAAUGCUCACCGAGGAGAAAGUUAAGGAGUCACAGUAUCAGAUUACCCCAUGGCAAAAUGAAUUGCCAAAUAAGACCAGUCUUCCUGUACAGUCACCUAACAAUCCUCUUGGAAAAGUAUCGUACAAAAGCGGCCUUGAUAUUGUGCCCCAGACGCCAUAUCCUCAAGUACAAUCUCCAAUGUCCUCCCCUUCCCCUGUUCAAGCCAGAGGCAAUUGGAAAAACCAUCAAGUAAUUCCAAGUGAGGUUCCUACAAGAAUUAUGGAUCAAGAUUACGGAGGAAGGGCCGCUCUUUCAAGCAGCAACCAAUUUAGGAAGGAUGUUCCUGCUCAAGCGUCCCAACGUGAUUCUGAUGCUCUGCAGUUUGGUUUCGUUGCUCAGAACUCGAGCCUACCACUCGAGGGCCCUAGUAGAAGGUAUGUCUUGGAUGAUUCUGUGGGGGCUGAAGACCAACAUGUGCGCGAACCUUCUGCUCAAUGGGGCCCUGGAGACUCACCUAAUUUAGAAUCUGGCCUCGAGGAAGCAAACCCUUCAUAUCCCUAUCUUCCUACUGUUCCCGAGGAGCCUGGUUCUUCUUUUUCUGAAGCUGCAGAGGAUGAUCCAUUGCCAGGCAUAGAGGGUCUUCGAAUCACGGGUGAGCCUUUUCCUGGACGAGACCUUCAAGCAAGUGGGUUCUCCAUCAACGGAACCACUAGUUGUAAUUUUGAGUGGGUUCGCCAUUUAGAUGAUGGCUCCGUAAAAUUCAUAGAAGGAGCAAGGCAACCCACCUAUUUGGUUACUGCUGAUGAUGUUGAUAAUCUACUAGCCAUUGAAGUCCAACCCCUAGACGACAGAAAAAGAAAGGGUGACAUCGUAAAGGUUUACGCUAACGAUCAAGCAAAAAUCACUUGCGAUCCUCAAACAAAGGAACUCAUAAAGAAAACCCUUGAAGUUGGGCAUGUGUCUUAUCAAGUCCAACUGCCUCAGGUGAGAUUCUUAGACAUGUGGGAACCAGCUGUUUUGGCAAUAAAGAGGGAAGGUUACAGCAUUAAAUGCAACGGGCAGCGUGGAGUUGUUCUCACGGAGAAAUUUCAGAAAGCAACUGCUAUUAAUAUUCCAUACGGAUACGAGCGUCAGACAGAGUUUUCGAUUGUAUCAGCUGACGGUGACGAGUAUAAUCUCCAGCCAGCAGACAAUAACAUGUCGCGGGAUACGAUUGUGCUAGUGCUAAGACUGUUCAGAUCCAUGGCCGUUGAGAAGCGGCGGGGGAGGAAGAAGGGCCUCUUCUUCAAGUAG
RNAcentral lists this ribosomal RNA (2187 nucleotides) under Triticum aestivum (bread wheat). RNAcentral's name for it is "partial small subunit ribosomal RNA". Lineage: Eukaryota; Viridiplantae; Streptophyta; Magnoliopsida; Poales; Poaceae. The record is from RNAcentral.